UAGGGAAUCUUCCACAAUGGGCGCAAGCCUGAUGGAGCAACACCGCGUGAGUGAAGAGGGGUUUCGGCUCGUAAAGCUCUGUUGUUAAAGAAGAACACGUAUGAGAGUAACUGUUCAUACGUUGACGGUAUUUAACCAGAAAGUCACGGCUAACUACGUGACAG
RNAcentral lists this ribosomal RNA (164 nucleotides) under uncultured bacterium. RNAcentral's name for it is "partial 16S ribosomal RNA". It matches the Rfam family "Bacterial small subunit ribosomal RNA", at positions 355 to 511 of the family's 1533-position model. The record is from RNAcentral.